CUACGGGCCGCAGCAGUGGGGAAUAUUGGACAAUGGGGGAAACCCUGAUCCAGCAAUGCCGCGUGUGUGAAGAAGGCCUGCGGGUUGUAAAGCACUUUCGGUUGGGAGGACUGCUUCUAGCACUAAUAUUGUUGGAAGUUGACGUUACCUUCAGAAGAAGCACCGGCUAACUCCGUGCCAGCAGCCGCGGUAAUACGGAGGGUGCAAGCGUUAAUCGGAAUUACUGGGCGUAAAGCGCGCGUAGGCGGCUAGAUCAGUCGGGUGUGAAGGCCCCGGGCUUAACCUGGGAACUGCAUCCGAUACUGUCUAGCUAGAGUACAGGAGAGGAGAGUGGAAUUCCACAUGUAGCGGUGAAAUGCGUAGAUAUGUGGAGGAACACCAAUGGCGAAGGCAGCUCUCUGGCCUGAUACUGACGCUGAGGUGCGAAAGCGUGGGGAACAAACAGGAUUAGAUACCCCUGUAGUC
Molecule: ribosomal RNA, 465 nt
Filed under: uncultured bacterium
Lineage: Bacteria
Description: partial 16S ribosomal RNA
Rfam family: Bacterial small subunit ribosomal RNA
Source: RNAcentral